Molecule: long non-coding RNA, 742 nt
Organism: Pipra filicauda (Wire-tailed manakin)
Lineage: Eukaryota; Metazoa; Chordata; Aves; Passeriformes; Pipridae
Exons: 3
Source: RefSeq, a predicted model, not a curated record
UACAUAUAAUUUUACAUCUAGUUAUAUUUAUAGGUGUAUAUAGUUACAUAGUUAGAUGUGUAUGAAUGUUUAGGUACGUAUAUUGAUAUUUGUAUAGGUAUAGGCUGCUUUCUCACCUCUGCUACCUUUUCCAUCCCUCACUCUUCCCGCCGUGCCGCCUCUGUCCCCGCUCCCUGUGCCGCCUCUGGGCUGGUGGCCGGGCCGGGGGAGCAGCAGCUCCAGCCCCAGGUCCCGGCCCCCCGCACCCCCAUGGGACUGGGGGAGCUUCUGGUGGCACCAGGCACCACUCCCCAAGGAGCUGCUGGAGGAUGGACUGCCCUGAAUUCCUUGUGAGCAGCAAGAGACUGAUGAGGGCCAAGAGAGAGAAGCUGACGACCACCAGCCACAUCUUGAACAGGGACCUGCUGCUGCUGCUGCCUGAGACCCUUGAUGUCCAUCUGUACCUCUCCAGGAGGGCUGCUCUGCAUGGGAGGGAGAGACCGAGGAAGAGCCUGUGAAGAUGGGGCGGCUGGGAUCUCUCUGUAUAUACUUAUAUUUAGAGAUGUGUAUAGUUAUAGUUAUACCUAGGUAGUUAUAGGUAUAUAGAUAUUUACAUAUGUAGAUUGAAUAUUUGUAUAGGUAUAUUUAUAUAUUUAUCUGGUUAUUUUUAUAAGUGUAUGCAGUUGUAUAGAUGUAUAGUUAUAGUGAUGUAGUUAUAGGUAUAUGGAUAUUUAGAUAGGUGUAUUGAUAUUUGUAUAGAUAU